RNAcentral lists this ribosomal RNA (468 nucleotides) under uncultured bacterium. Its description in RNAcentral is "partial 16S ribosomal RNA". It matches the Rfam family "Bacterial small subunit ribosomal RNA", at positions 28 to 507 of the family's 1533-position model. The record is from RNAcentral.
GACGAACGCUGGCGGCGUGCUUAACACAUGCAAGUCGAACGGUAAAGCCCCAGCUUGCUGGAGUGGAUGAGUGGCGAACGGGUGAGUAACACGUGAGCAACCUGCCCCUGACUCUGGGAUAAGCGCUGGAAACGGCGUCUAAUACUGGAUACGAGAAGCGUCCGCAUGGGCACUUUCUGAAAAUUUUGUCGGUUGGGGAUGGGCUCGCGGCUUAUCAGCUUGUUGGUGAGGUAAUGGCUUACCAAGGCGACGACGGGUAGCCGGCCUGAGAGGGCGACCGGCCACAUUGGGACUGAGACACGGCCCAGACUCCUACGGGAGGCAGCAGUGGGGAAUAUUGCACAAUGGGCGAAAGCCUGAUGCAGCGACGCCGCGUGAGGGAUGACGGCCUUCGGGUUGUAAACCGCUUUCGGCAGGGAAGAAGCGAAAGUGACGGUACCUGGAGAAGAAGCACCGGCUAACUACGUG